Molecule: RNA transcript, 2513 nt
Organism: Papilio xuthus (Asian swallowtail)
Lineage: Eukaryota; Metazoa; Arthropoda; Insecta; Lepidoptera; Papilionidae
Exons: 3
Source: RefSeq, a predicted model, not a curated record
GACUUGACCCAUGGCUUUACGAAUCAAUCUUAGGCUUACGUAUUUUAAAACUAUUAAAGUCAAUAAACAACAAAUCCUGUCAUAACUGUCAACAUCUAUUCGGCCUUAACAAAAUUACCAAGUAUUUUAUUUAAAUAAUCAUGAAUUAAAGACACAAAAUUAUGAUACUACAGCGUCUGUUCUUAGCAAUACUUUGUGCAAUAAAUGCACCAAAAAAUCAACGGUGUAUAUUAAACACUAGGGUACAUUUCGGCCAACCGUUACCUGUGAUAUUAAGAAAUGGACAACUCUUAGAACCCACUGAUAAUGACGGGAACAUAAUUUUACAGUACGGGGAGACCAUAACUUUAAGUUGUAUCGAUCAAGGCAGUAUUCGCAAUUCACAUACGACCCAAGGACGAAAUACAGCAACAAUUAAUUGCAUCAACGAUGAUGUCUUUGGAAACGAUGAAUGGUUGAACUCUCCAUCAAGAUUCAGUGAAUUCAAAUGCACUAGUCCACCGUCCUACGUCAGUGAUCGCACAAAUCGAACCUGCUAUGAUGAAAACAUAAUAUACGAAGUUGGCUACAAAAUUGAUAAUGUUUUCUAUCCAGUUUACGAGUCUUGUUUCAAUGAAGUUGAAUUGAACGCUAUAUAUUCCAAAUACACGCAAAAACCUUACAACGCAUUAUAUCAAACAAGAGUCGAAAGACCAUUUUUCAUUGAUAACAAUGUGUACGGAUAUGUUUCGGUUAAUUCGUUGUUCUCACCAGCGGGACAGAAGAGCGCUGUUGCCCAACUUGUUGGUGAUAGAGUCAAUACUUACCUGAAUAAAACUGAAUUCCUAUCAAGAGGGCAUCUUGCUGCUAAAACUGAUUUCGCUUUAGCAUUCGGGGAACGGGCAACAUUUCAUUACGUGAAUUGUGCUCCACAGUGGGUCGGUUUUAACGGUGGCAACUGGAAUACACUGGAAGUAGACUUGAGGAAUCAUAUUCAUAAUGUUGGGUAUAACACUAUCAUUUACACUGGCACUUUUGGUGUAUCACAACUUGUCAAUCAACAUGGAACAGCAGUCGAUGUAUAUCUUCAUACUGAUGUGAAUAAUAAUCCAGUAAUUCCUGUUCCGAAAUAUUAUUACAAAGUUGUGUAUGAACCGAUUAGUAAGCGUGGAAUAGCCUUCGUAGGUAUAAAUAAUCCUCAUUAUACAAGACAGGAGGCACAGAAUUUGUUCUUCUGUCCAGAUUUAUGCCGAGGAAAUAAUAAUUUCUCUUGGCUCACGUGGCAUCCAGAUUUAUCAUCCGAAGGGUAUACGUUUUGUUGUACUAUUGAUGAUUUUCGACAAACUGUACGUCAUCUACCAAAAUUUGAAGUGAGUGGUCUUUUAACUUGAUAUUUGAAGACUGUAGGAUCUAUAGUCAACAUUAUGCUGGACUAUGGCUCAAGAAAAUAUUAGAAUUUCAAACAGUUUAGAAGAUAUUGAAUGCAGGCAUAUUAAUUGUGAUGUCUCUGAGUGAGUCGAUGACAUCGACGGAUGGAAUAAGAGCAACUAGGCCUAAAAUAAUAGACUUCAAAAUACAAAGAGAUCCUGGUUUAUUAAAAUACAAUUCAUAUUUCUUUGCCAAAGAACCUGAAACAACUACGACAGAGAAAAGAGUUGUAUCUUUAUUAGGUCGUAAAGUUAAAAGUAGAGACGCACAUUUCGAUAUUUAUCCAACGAAGAAAUUCCGAACUCUACCUUAUGAGUCGACUAAUAAAGUGGUAAGAGAAAUACAUCUAAGACGUGCAAGUAAUAGACGUGCUAUUGUACAAUUUAAAGGAUACACAUCUGUACCGCAAAGUGAGAAAUUUAUAAUAAGAAGAAAUGCAUGUCAUCAUAACGAAAUGUUAAAACAACGUGAUUUAGUCCAGAAUUAUAUAAAAAAUAAUGAUUUCGGUGAUGAUAUUGAAAUAAAUACUGAUGUAUCACCGAUAGAUACAGCUGAAAUUAAAUUAUUCCUACCUAAAAAUACUAAACAUAUAAAUACACAGAGUUAUAACGGUCACAAAACAAAUCUUAUUGGUAGACCUAUUUAUUUUAAUCCGAAUCCCCGAAGUGAUAAUUCCGCUGAAACGGAAGAUCAGAAAGAAUUUAUAUUUGUUAAGAUUCCUCGUAUCGAUUAUGAAAAUGUCGAUGAUAAAAAAAGUAAGAAAACAAUCAAGAAGAGUAUCUUUAAACAUUAUAGACUGUUCAAAAGGCGUAUCUAAUCACUAGGAGGAAUAUUCGGGGCAAAGAUGGCUGCGCUUGCGGUCUGGUUGGUUUGUAUUAAUUAUUAAGUCUUAUAAUAGAUGGAUUGUGAUAAAUCUUCUUAUUCCUUAUACUGCUGUUUAGUUAUUCCAACUUGUUUCUAUUGGUGUUGAUCUUUUUUCUUUAUUGGUGUUCUUUUGAGUGGACAUUAUCAUUUUUUUGUCUACUUUUAUCUCUCUACGUGUUAAGGGAUUUUAUUCUUGGUGGUGCAGAAAUCAUUCCAGGGAUUUAAGUUCUUCCUGUACAAAA